Long non-coding RNA from Mustela erminea (ermine), 293 nucleotides. RefSeq lists it as uncharacterized. The record is from RefSeq and is a predicted model, not a curated record. NCBI's taxonomy places the organism in Eukaryota, Metazoa, Chordata, Mammalia, Carnivora, Mustelidae. The transcript has 2 exons.
UGACUAGAGAGGAAGAAAGAAGCCUGUCCUUAUUCUCAGAGGAUAUUACCUACAAAGGAAUUUCCCAGCCCAAGCUAAUGAGUGAGCUCAGUUCUUGGUCCCGGGGAAGAGCCAGAGGUCUGACCAGCCCAUCGGUCCUCUCUCAUCUCUGACCCCAAAGCCACUAAUAUUGUCUUCUGAGUAGGAAUGUGGCCUUCCUAGCUGAGAAGUCAGUCUGUGACAGGACGACAUUCCCAGAGGGUCAGUGUCCUCCACACUUUCUGAGCAGACGCAGGUGCUCUGUGAGCCGGAGG